AAAAAAUACAGGAAAAAAAGUUAUUUCAUGAAAGCAACAACUGAUGAAUGACUUCAUAUUUUCUUUAUGCAGUAGAACAAAUCAGUGGACGUCCGCUUAAUUUUUAUUCCACCUGGUGUCUUUUGACCUACAUGGAGAUGCACAAUAUCAUGUGAAGAAAAUGCAUUCAGUUCACCAUAGCAAAUUCCAGGAGCCAGACCUUGCCUGCACCAGCACAUCCAUCUCUCACAGUUCAGGCAGGAAGGGCCCACCCAUGGCCUCAACUAAUACCACUUCUUCAGAGGGUUUAUCUCAAUUUGGUAGCCAAUAUCAACUCUAACAGAUAGACAGCAAUUAACAGGUCCCAAAGGCCAAGAUCUAAGUUGCCUACUUCAUUCAAAGGUUGAACUGCUACUCAAGCAAGAGGCCUGCUGCUGUCCGAAUAUCUUCAUGCAAACCUUCCUCCUGACUCAAGGCACAUUUGACCUUCAAUCAUACUUGUGCUUGUUUUUGGAUUUUUUUUUAUCCAGCAUCACAACCUACAAUUGGUGCAUGAGAAACAAGUGAUACAGUACGUUGCCCAGCACAGAGAAUUUUACACAAAGAUAUUACUUCUACAAUGUCUCAUUCACAAAAAGCAAGCAUUCUGUAUCUACUUUGCCAGUACAGUGACACUGAGUCUUCUUAACUGUAAUUCAAUAAACAGCAUUUUGUAGGCUGCACAGACUAAAGAUACAAGAUUACUGUUGUUUAGUGUAAAUCUUGAUAGAAAUACAAUAAACCUGUUUUAAAAUCAGUUACUGCUGUCCCCCUUUUAAUCCAGAGCAAGACUGUAUCAGUGAUCCUCCUUCUAUUUUUACUGUUGGCGUGCAAGCCUCUAAUACUGAUUGCUGGAAAUUGCCCAGGUAAUUCAGUGGAACACUGGAUUUCAAACAUGCUGUUUUGAACUUUUUUUAAAAGAUUAAAAGGAAGACCAACUGACAGACAUGAAAUAUAUUUGCAACGCAAUCCAAUAGUUCUUUAGAAAGUUCAUAUCUGAUGAGAACUACUGUGAACUGCUAAUUGCUGAAAUCACCAUGUGUCACACAGCACGGCAGCUUUUAUGGUCUUUGUUACUAAAAACAUCUAAAUAUCCAUGUUUAAUGACUGAACAUCAAGUGAAUACAAAAUAUAGAUGGAGACACCUAAAUAAGUAAGGGCAUGACACGGUUUCAAUUGUAUGUGAUAAUUGGGAAAGGGGUGCAUUAAUUCAAAUCUGAUAAAAUUCUUAAGACAUUUUUAGUUGUGCCUCUUUACCUGGGAGAGAAAGAACCAAAACACUAGCAUUCUAAGAAAAUCAAAAUUAACUACUUGGAUGUAAAGAAAUACUAUAAUUGUCUCCUUCGCUCUUCAAGAUGUGCCAAAGCACAUCUGCAGAGGUUUAAAAGCCAUACAGAACAUUCACAGAACAAAGAGAGCAAUCGAGUAGAACAUAGCAAUCAUUAUAUUUCUUUGUUUUUUUUCCAUAUGAAGGAGUUCAAAAUAAUUUUCCCCACAAUAGUUCCAAAAAUCCUUUUGCUACAAGAGAUAGUGGAUGAGAAAUUUCAAAUAAAGACUUAGAUAUGGCCCUUGAUUAAUCUUAUAUUUCUUUACAUAUACGAUAUCAUAUGAACAACAGCAAAAUUCCUGUGUUGCUUCACUGUUCCUGUUUUAUAUAAUUUUUUUCUGUUCAAUAUAAAAAGUCACCCCUUAGAUCAGUUCCUUUAAGAGUCUGUAUCUAGUGGUUCCAUAGACAAUUCCCAUCAAAUACUCCAGUAUCCAGCAUUAAAUUAUUAAUUCUCCUCAAGCGAUAAAAGAUUAAGUCUAUUAUUUUUACAAUGUUUUCUAUUCAUUCCUUACAAUUACUAACUUGUAAACACAAAAACUUAUACACAGAGGAAAAAAAAAAUAUCUUCCCAAACAUUACUAUUGGAUUUAAUUACAAAAUACAGGCUGAGGGUCAUUCAGAUGCCUAUUUCAGCAAAUCACGUUGGACUUCAGCAAAACAUUUCUUGCAUCAUCAGAUGAAUUCAUUCAAAGUUUAUUUCAGUUGGAUAGGACAAGAACUUUCACAGCAAGAUUAAAAUUUUUUGAUGAGCUGAAAAACGAAUACAAUUCUCAGGACUCUCAUAAUUGGGAGGCAUGAGAUACACAAGGCAAAGAAGUUAAUAAUAAAAGAACCCAUUGUUAGAUUCCUUUAAGCAAUAAUGCUUCCCAAGGCGCUGUUCUACUAUUGCACAUCUUCAAUGAUUCUACUGUGGGGAAAAGUGGACAUUUUUAUUAGGCCAAGAUUAAAUUUGAGUGUAAUGGAAGUUAACCUGUGGGAAAAGAUGGUAGGAAUCUAUGCAGAAUCCUUCGACACCACUCACUGUAAGCCAGUGGGCACAACCUUAAAACCAACAGUUCUAGUGCCCCGCCUGUUUUCCCAGUAAAAGACCAUCAGUGGGAUGAGAAGGGCAAAUUUCAAUAGCAAUUCAUAUCUCUAAAAUUUCAUUUUUUUUUUUUAAUGCAUGUUGACAAAAUGUCAGGGGAGCACAAAAACUGGAAAAGGGGAAAAAAAACAAAAGAAAUAAUAACCAAUCCCACAUACAAAAAAGUACAAAAUAAACCAAAACAACAACAACAACAAAAACAACAGCAAAAACAACAACAGCGAAAAUAAAAACACUUGAUCAGCCUGCUUUUCGUUUUCAUUACAGUCCCCAAAAGAGAAUGCACAAGACCAUGCUGAGUUUCUCACUGAUAGCGGUGACAUCUAUUGAAGAAUGAAUUCAAAAGGAACUGCAACGUAGCCAAAAGGGUCACUGGUACAGCUUUAACAGAUGUUCACGUUUCUCUUCCUCCUACUUUCUUUACAGGGCCAUCCAUCCUGCCUCAUCAGCUGUUUCUACUUUUAAUCUUUUCCCACUCUCCCAAGAAUAAAUGUCACCCUUGCUGAGUUCCAGACACUUCCCGUUUCAAUCAUCCAGCAAAAGGGUAAAAAAACAAAAACAAACAAACAACAAAAAACCAAGUGAAACAAUAAGGAUUUUUUUGAACUUCAAUCAUCUGACUGUCUUUAAUACAUCAAGAAAAUACACAGGCUUUUACUUUAAGCAGCUGCCCUUUAGCUAGACUUGAAGUCAAAAUGCAUCUCUGUAUCUGUGAGAUAGGGGAGAGAGUUACUGACAUAUCAUGCCUACAUUCAUACACGUGCACAAAGGUAUUUCACAAAUUCUAUGGUAAUCUAUGAACCUCCUGAGAAAAAAUUUCCAGUAAAAAUCCCAUUAGCUUGCAACGAUGCUAUAACAUUACAACACUGAAGUUAAACGUGGAAAUGUGGAUGUAUAUAUCCUUCCUCUCUGCUGAAAGUGGGAGUGCAAAUGGCUAUUUCUUGACAAAAAACCCCACCCUCUUCCUGUUAUUCUAGCACUCCCUACUUUCUUGGGGCUAGCACUUUCAGACCAGGUAUUUUGUUAUUUCUGGUUCUUUUUAGAGAUAGGGAUACAGUUCAAACUAUUUCAUUCCCUCAGGCAGGGUUUAGUUCUUUCAGCCCGAGGUAUAGCCAAAAAAAAACAAGUUGGAAAAUGUCCAACCCUUUCCAAGCAUCCCUAAUGCAAAUUGUUGUAUUACACUGUUAGAAAAUUCCAGGAGCCCCAAGCAGAGCUACAGAAUCACUUACUUCUCUGGUCACAUAAGCUUUGGGGGAAAAGACUCUUCUUGUUCAGAGGCACAUUCUUUUCUAACUAUAAUGGCUUUUGUGGACCAUAUUACUUUAGUCCUGAAAGUGAGCUACCUCCAAGCUUGCACAGAGACCAAUUCAGGGCAAUUUGGAAAUCCUUCUAACCAGGUAAAAUGCUCUUUUAUUUCUGAAGGGACUUCUGCUAAUUUUUGGACCAAACUGCCCUGUUGGUAUUACACAACAGUUCACACCUGUAUGUGCAGGAAUUUCUCCAUCCUCCUAAUAAUAACAGGGAUAAUGAGGGAAACUAAAAAAUAAUGGCCACAGAACAAACAUACUGAACACUGGGUAGAACAGUUUCAUGACAUUAGAAUUCCUUGCUCCCUACUGCUACUUUUAACUAAGACCCAAACAUCAGCAGUUGCAGACUCCUAAAACAGGUGAGACAGGAAACUGAAAGAUGGAUUCUCUGAGACAACUUCUAUAGUAUAGAAGCACUAGCUCUUCACAGCUUCCUACAGACCUCACUGCACUGUAUUUUACAAUAAACAAAAUUUAACUUAAACAUACCGAUUUAAAACACUGAUAGGACUAUCCUGUGAAUGCUGGCAGAACUGCUGUAAGGCAGCGCUUAUAGAAUUACAUUGCUGCACUUAUUCUUUGAAACUUGUGUGACCACCACUCUUCAAAUCAGAUAGGGUCACAUCGUGAAAAACAGGUUAACAGAAGUAAAAACAGAAAUGCUUCCAGUACCAUUCUGAACUCCUUCAGAGGACUGGGACAGAUCCCUGUGUGUACCACUGGCUGGUAAUGGGCAGCAUCAGAAACAUGCAGCACUACAAAGAGCUUGCCUAAGAAAUGCAGCAGCACAUAUAAGGAUCAACUGAGAUCCCUUCAUCUGCAGAAAAAAAAUAUGCUUACAGGCCCAUUGAAGAUGUCCCCAAACGGACUGACAACUAUGAAAAGAUGCGCAAUAUUCAUUGCAUCACCACAAAAUAUAAAAUACAGAAAACAACUCAAAGCGCAACAAGCCCAGUUUCUUUCAACUUUUCAUUCUCCAGACUUGCAUCACUUCUCACAGAGACAUCUUAAAUAAAUGUCAAAUCUGUUGUUCCACACACCAACUUUUCUCCUUCUUUCUAUCUGCCUUUCCAACAGUUUUUUACUACAAAGUAGUUGUGGUAUGAUAGCAUUUACUCUGUUCUUGUGGACUAAAAAGAGAAACGUGUGAAGCAGAAACAGAGGGGCAUCUCCCAUUUUUAUGGAUUUAUUAUUUUGUACCAACUUCAUCACGCAUUUGGCAGUAGUCUAGCUCAAUACAAGAGCAUUCACUGCUCAUUUCUAGGACCACACAUACUGUGUGUUUCAAGGCCCACUUACAGGCUUACAGCAAGCAAAGAUGUAUCAUAUCUUUUAUUCUAUUAGCAUGCAAAUUGUUUGGUGUUUUUUUUUUUGUUUUUUUUUUUUGUGCAUCACUCUAGAAGCUUGCCAGAAGCCUUGCAGAGAUUACAGAACCAUCUGUAGAUAAAAUUACACAGAUUAAAUUACUUCUGUGUACUUUUUCCCAUUAACAGCUUUUGGCUACCAUUCAUCUAAGUUUUUUUCUCCCGCUUUUUCUCCCACUUCCAACAGAUUAUACUAGCAGUUACUGACAGCACUGUUGGCCAUCUCUAAUAAUUCCUAAAAUUGUAAGAAUGUACCAUAAAUUGAUGGUGGUGCUAGUUCUUUAGGCUAUAUAUUACAGUUAAAAAACAACCAAACUAACCAACCAAAAAAAAAAAAAUCCCAAAACCACAACCCACGCAAAAACACAAACAACCCACAACAAAAUCAUCAUAGCAACAGUUUUGAGGGUAAAACUCGAACAGGUUUCUUCCCAUGGAAUAUUCAGCAACUUCUGCCCUCAGGCACCAUCUCUCCUCUCCACACAGCAGACUGCAGAGCUAAGAUGGUUUUGUGUCUUUAUCCGUCACACCAACUUGGCUCUUUAAAUCUACACUGACACGGAUUCUAUUGACAAAAAAGGAUGCAUACCUUUCAGAUAUAGCUGCUAGAAAUACAAAAACAUUUCCUUCUUGUUCUUGCAUAGACAGACAUUCUCUCUCCCUCUGUUUCAAUGCCUUUAUUAUAGAUUAUUGAAGUUCUCUUCCCACUGAAAUAAGUUGAACUUUCUAUUGACUUCACAACUUAUGAAGCCAGCAGUACGAAAUGCUGCAAUUGCACAUGGAAGAAAUGCAACGACUCGAUUACAGACUAAUAGAGCUAAAAUUCAGCAGGAUUGUUUCCAUUUGUUAGAUAUCUAACUGUGCCAAAUAAAUGCAUCAUAUGAAUGUUAGAAAUAUUAAAGCAAAAUAACAAUACUCCACACUUCCAAAAUAAUUUCACAAUGUUUUCUUGGUUAUAUUUUCUGCCAAUAGUACUGAUUAUUUCAUCUUCUAAAUGAAAACCACUAUCAAAGUCUGACAGCAUGAUAUAGUAUAAAACUUUCUUACAUCUAGCUUAAAAAGAGAUAACAAGAACAGGCAGCAAGCAUAAAAUGACCUUUACUAUUGAAAUCAGCUUCCCUUGAACACACACCUUUACAUAUUUUAUCAAAAUAAAAUUAUAAUAAAAAAGCAGGAUAAUAUUUUCUCCACAGGUUGCAUUUUAAAAUUGAAUUUCGUUCAUUUAGUGCUUGUUUUACAGUUCCUGCCUUAUACUGUCUGAGCCCACGAUUCUACUGGAAUCAUAUAAUAUCACAGAAUAUCCCAAGCUGGAAGAACUCUUAUUUCUUCAUUCCAGCUGUGUAUUCAAGCAGGGACUAUCUUUAAUAUUUUAGACUAGGCCUUCAUUAAACAUUUUAUUCCAAGGGCUCUAUCUUUCUUCCUGUCUCCUUUUACAACUCCUUGGAGCUUGAAUAUAGGACAAGGAUUUGCACAGACAACACUGCCAUUCAUACAGUUGCUACAGUGAGGACAAGUUUCAUUCGUCCCUACAGAGCAUGGGCACAGGCCUUAACUGAGAGCAUGAAGACAGGACUUCUUUGCUACGAUUAAGAGAACCGAGAGCCUUAACAACGUAUCCCGAACAACGUUUCUCAUCUUGCUUUCCACUCAGCUUGCAUCUGCUGAUAUUAAUACCACAAAGAGUAACCUGCAAUAAAUCUCAGCAGCAGUGCAUGUUGGAAGGGUGUACAACGAGAAUUUUACUCUGUAGCAGAGGGGCUUUGCCUGCUUCUUUUCUUUCCUUUAGCAGCUUCUUCGUUCUCUCACACUUGGCUUCCUACUCCCUCAUUUCCCAACUGGGAAAUACAGAGGAGUUCAUUUCAAAUAUUUUACUUUAAACAGACUACAGUUAUAAGAUUAAAUUUUAUAUGUGAAAAAUAAGGCAUAUUAACUCUCUCCUCCAACAUUUCUGCACUUCCAAGAAAAAUCACUAUCACUCCAAAUUAAAAUAAUGACAGCAUGAAUUGAUGACUUCAAAGAGACAUGAAGACAAUUCUACAAAAACUCUCACUCAGAUGUUUGACAUUCAUUUAUUUUCCAGACGCUGCCUCUUCACAAGUGCAGAGUGAACUGCUGUUGUAUGUAUGUCUUGCAGGUGGUGGUUUUAUUUGAAGGACUGCUGCAGCUUACCAAGCAAGGACUGUAAAGAAAUCCAAAGAUUUCUUUGUGAAAAUGUUUACAGCUUGAAGCCAUUUACUCAACGGUCCCCUUAUGAAAGCUUUGUUGUUGUUGUUCAUUAAAACACGUUAAUUUUACGAGAACAGUAUUUUUGUAGUUCAAAGACUUUACUCAAGGUCAGAAUAAUGCAAUAGGAAUGAGAGAAUGGAUUAAACAAAAUGAAUCAGGACUUUUGUUUUUUUUCCAAGCUUACUGAUCACACUCUUUGUCACUGGCCUCGAGCCAGUUUGGCAAUUCCUUGUGUUCUGCGAAAGUCACAGGUCUUAAAUCAGAAAUUCUCCCAGAUUCACAUAUUGAAGUGUGGACACUUUCACAAAAACACAGACAGAAGUACUCUAAUUUUUUUAAAAUCGUUUUCUUAUAUGAAGUUUUAUAUAAGCGUUAUCUUUUAGGUGGACCACAGCACACUAACAACUCAGAGCAGGACGGAGAGAGAGCAGGUGGCCAGGAAAGGGAACUGCUCAUGCCAGCAUAAACACAGCGUUGCAGUAACUACCACAUUAGAACCAGCAUCCUAAAUUUGAGUUCACCUUUGGUCAUUGACUUCAAUACAACGGAUAAAGCAAACAGAGGAGAGAAUACCAGUGAGAAAUGUAGUGUUUAGAAUCAGCCUACUCAAAAUCUGUUCUCAGGCUACGGUUUGGACAUGAUUACCCCUGUUAGUACACUUCAUAUGCUGAGUUUGAAGGAAGAUUUCCCAGGAGGAAUUCCCCACAUUAAGUCACUUCGGUGAGACAAUCUACAUCAAUAUUCUCUCUGCAUCUACAAAUCACCAAGCAGGCUUCCAACACAGCUAAGUAAAUGUAUAAUCGUUACCUAAUGUGACCUUCUGUAGCCAGCUCUAUCUCUAUCUCAUCUCUUGCAACCCAUUCUAAGAUCUCACCUUAUAGAAUGAAUUGCAUUUAACAACCUUGUAUAACAAAUAUUUGCACCCUUCUUAAUCAUAGCUUGACCCCCAAUAACAUGAAAAAUUCACACUGUAAUUAACAAAUGACAUUCAGAUGUAACUACGUCAUAGUGAAGUGUAUGAAACACUAGUGCUGCAUUCCAUGAAGUAACAGUCUCCUGCAACAUACUGGCAUGAAGAAAGCUGAUUUUAAUUUAAAGCUCAUUUCAACUGUCUGGCCAUCAGUCACAUCGAUUGUCAUAAAUCCUCCAUUUCUCCCAAAGAGUCUCAGCAGGAAUUAAAAACCACCUAUGCUUAGAUACAUAAUAAUGCAGGAAUCAAUGGUCAAUCAAGCCACUGUGACUGACAAGAAUUCCCAGUGAACUUCUACAGCACCCCAGACAAAAUAAAUGCGCUUGAAAUAAAUUGUUUUUUAAAAUACUUCUUGAUUUUUCAGCUUAACAUCUAGUAACAGCAGCCAAAUGCAGGGCUGCUUUUUCAUUGUUGCUAUUAUAAAUGAUAUACCUGUAAUGCCAGCAUUAACCAUUAAUUAAAAGCAGUCUGACCUCUUAAACUUUUGUCAGAAAACAAAACGUUAGGAAAGGAAAAGUACUGUAAGAAAAUUAUCACUACUUUAAAUAGAACAUAUUUCUUGACUAAAAAUUUGAAAAAUACUAAAGGGUAUGAAAGAAUUUAACUUACAUUAAAAUAUUAUAUUUAAGAGCUAAAUAUCCAUCUGAUUAUUAUCUUCACUGAGUGUCAAUUUAAAAAGCUACAGAUGUAAAAUCUAAAACUUUCUUCAGAUUUUGAAGCAGUCCCCCAGUCAGCAGUUCUCAAACACUUUACAGUCCUUUGGUUGGGGAAAUUUAUUAUUUUGUCCCAGUACUGUAAGGAUUUCUCAAAUCUCUGUGCUUAAAAUAAUAGAACUUGAAAGGGUAUUAACGUCAGAAGCUAAUGAUAACUUUUUUAUAUAGCAACACCAUUAACAAUAUUACUACCCAAACCAUACCUUGAGGACAUUCACAACACAUGCUGGUGCAGUGGAAAUGGACCUGCCUAGCUACUCAUAACAUUCAUGCCUUUUAACUAAUCUUCUGCAAAAAGAAAAAGUGAACAUCACAUACAAAUACUGCAGAGAGUGCAGAAUUGUUACAGAUCAAACCACUGGCUCUCAUUCUGACUUUUCUACAAAUUGCUGGUAGCAUAAUUGCUCUAUAGUAUUAACUGUACUUAUCUCAAGUUGCAAUCUGCAAACACACAGACGUAACUACAUACAUACUGCAUCUUCCAAUCAGAAUUCAUCACACAUUUCCAUACGGAGAGAUAUCAAGCCUAAGUUCACUUGCCUGCCCUGAAGGGAUAAGAGAUAUACACCAAAGCUGGCCUCAAUGUCUCUCAAGCAUCCUGCAUGGAGGCAGCUGCCAUUGAGGUGCACUUAGCAGGCACCAGUAGGUGCCCACGUACUGGGCAAUCCCAUCCCACCUCAAAUAUGUGAAAUCCUUACAAAUCCCUGCCCUAUUAAUAACUUUCCUAUAAAUGGCUUAGCUGAAGGAGCAGGAGAUAAAAAACAUACAAAAAAAUACAAUGGGAAUUUUAAGAAGCAUAAAAAAUAGCAUAUUCAUGUUUUGAGUUUCCAAGUUAUUCCACUAAAGUCGUUAUGUAAUCACAUGCCAAGAGCAAAAUGAAAAACAAACUCAAAAGCAAAGGUUGUGUGAAAAGAGGAGAGGUGGAUGGGUGGGCAGGUUAAAGGCUGAAUCACCUCCAUAGAGUGCAAAAAAAGGGCAAAUCAGUUAAGCGAAUGUUUCAGAAAAACUUCACCAAGGGCCAGAAAAGCAUUAUGAAAAUUUUGGGUGAGAUCCCAACAAAAAGGUGAAAUAUUGCAGUAUGGCUGUACAAAAUCAGAAGACAGCUGAAAGAACACUGGAAAAAGAAGUUGUGCAGACUUCCAGCAACUGUAAUCUAUCAACACAAUCACUAAGGCAGAUGAGUACAGCAGGCUGUUUAAUUUGUCUUGUUUGUAUAGACUUUAAAUAUUGUAUACCAAAAGCACAGACAAACAGAAAUAUGGAGUCAUUUUUGCAGCAAACAGCUCCUCCCAGAGUUUAAGUGACCAAAUUCAAGUGUUCUUGAAGCAGUGAAAGGGGUGAAGGAAGGUAUCCAUUUGCAUCACAUAUUAGUUUUACUGAAGCAUCAUUAGCAGCUUGCCUCUCUGAUUGCAAAUGGCUCUGCUGGGAUUUGCCAAGCAGUCAUAAAAUGGCAGCUCUGAAGAUACAAUUUUAUAGAAGUAAUGCAGCAGCACCAUGCUCUAUUUCCUAACAUAACUUAGAUCUUGUAAGAUUCAUUGAUGAAAAAUAUAUCCAAAGACAAGUGGCAUACACUGCUCAAAUAAGAUCAUGCUGGAAAUCCAGGCAGCCCCUUAAACAAUUUGAAAAUCCUCUCCAACAAGUUAUUUUCACCAUAGGGCUUUAACAGUUCUAGUUUGGA
Phasianus colchicus (ring-necked pheasant) is the source of this 10690-nucleotide non-coding RNA. NCBI's taxonomy places the organism in Eukaryota, Metazoa, Chordata, Aves, Galliformes, Phasianidae. The record is from RefSeq and is a predicted model, not a curated record.